GACGAACGCUGGCGGCGUGCUUAACACAUGCAAGUCGAACGAAGAGCGAUGGAAGCUUGCUUCUAUCAAUCUUAGUGGCGAACGGGUGAGUAACGCGUAAUCAACCUGCCCCUUCAGAGGGGGACAACAGUUGGAAACGACUGCUAAUACCGCAUACGAUCUGACCUCGGCAUCGAGGAUAGAUGAAAGGUGGCCUCUAUUUAUAAGCUAUCACUGAAGGAGGGGAUUGCGUCUGAUUAGCUAGUUGGAGGGGUAACGGCCCACCAAACCGACGAUGGAUAGGGGUUCUGAGAGGAAGGUCCCCCACAUUGGUACUGAGACACGGACCCAAAACUCCUACGGGAGCAGCAGUGAGGAAUAUUGGUCAAUGGCCGAGAGGCUGAACCAGCCAAGUCGCGUGAAGG
RNAcentral lists this ribosomal RNA (404 nucleotides) under uncultured bacterium. Its description in RNAcentral is "bacterial SSU rRNA". It matches the Rfam family "Bacterial small subunit ribosomal RNA", at positions 28 to 407 of the family's 1533-position model. The record is from RNAcentral.